Molecule: long non-coding RNA, 5406 nt
Filed under: Zea mays
Lineage: Eukaryota; Viridiplantae; Streptophyta; Magnoliopsida; Poales; Poaceae
Description: long non-coding RNA (ZMAY_LNC003964)
Source: RNAcentral
CUGUUAGAAAAAUGCACAAACCAACACUCCUCAGGGCACCCAGCCUAGAUAUUUAGCAGCAACGACUGACUAUCUAAGUAUUGGAUAUCCAAGUCUCCAAAUAAGAUACUAGGAUCCAAGCUCCUAAGUGAUAGAUGAAUGCUUGAUGUUUAUUGAUCAAGAGAAUCAGCUACAUAUAGGCAGCAUCACCUGACUAGACAUGCACGAGUAUAACCGGUUUAUAGAAGUAAUACCCGGUGGUAAAGGAAGUGCAUCACCUGAUUAGGACUCUCCAACUAUAGCCAUGCGUGUACAAGGCAGGCCUAAAGCAAGGAAAGUAAUCAAUCUAAUUAUGGUAAUCCAAUCAAUCUAAUUAUGGUAAUCCAACACCCCCCCCCCCCCCGCAGUCUGAACGUGGUCAGCCACAAGGAAAAACAUUCAGACUGGACCUGAACUCCGUGAACACCGACGAAGGCAAUCCCUUAGUGAAGAUAUCAGCAUACUGGGAGGAAGUAGGAACAUGUAAAACUCGAACUGCACCGGCCGCAACUCGUUCUCGAACGAAAUGUAGAUCGAUCUCAAUGUGCUUCGUACGCUGAUGAUUCACUGGGUUCGAGGAGAGGUAGACUGCACUAACAUUAUCACAGAAGACAACAGUGGCGCGCUUCAGGGGAAUAUGCAUUUCCUGAAGGAGCUGUCGGAGCCAGGUGGUCUCAGCAACUGUGUUUGCCACCGCACGAUACUCUGCUUCAGCACUGGAACAGGAUACAGUGGGCUGACGCUUGGAUGACCACGAGACGAGGUUAUCACCAAGAAAAACAGCAAACCCAGAGGUCGACCGACCGGUGUCAGGACAACCGGCCCAAUCAGCAUCAGAGUAGGCAACCAUUGUGGAGACAUCCGUGGGACGAAGAUGAAGGCCAUGAUCCAACGUCCCAUGCAGGUAGCGAAGAAUACGUUUAAUCAACGUGUAAUGAGGUUCUCUAGGAUCAUGCAUGUGAAGACAAACUUGCUGAACACCAUAAGAAAUGUCAGGGCGAGUGAAAGUGAUAUAUUGUAGAGCACCGGCCAGACCCUGAUAGUGAGUCGGAUCAGUGACGGGUGGACCCUCAGUGCCAGAAAGCUUGCCACUCGUGUCAACAGGAGUAGAACAUGGCUUACAAUCGAUCAUACCUGCACGUUCAAGCACCUCAAGAAUAUACUCCCGCUGAGAAAGAUGAAAUCCAUCAGGAUGCCGAGUCACAGUGAGGCCUAGAAAAUGGUGCAAAGGGCCGAGGUCGGUCAUAGAAAAUUCUUGCUGUAGUGCUGUGAUCACCCACUGGAGAAGUGAGUCUGAAGAUGCUGUUAGUACAAUAUCAUCCACAUAGAGAAGUAAAUAGAUGUUGUCAUGGCCAUGGUGAUAUAUAAACAGAGAUGGGUCAGAUUUGGCACUCACAAAGCCAAGAGAAAGAAUGUGAGUGGCAAAACGACUGUACCAGGCACGAGGAGCUUGUUUCAACCCAUAAAGGGACUUGUUCAGGCGACAGACAUGAUCAGGCCGGGAGUUGUCAACAAAACCAGCAGGCUGUACACAAUAGAUAGUCUCAUCAAGGGUGCCAUGCAAGAACGCAUUCUUCACAUCGAGCUGAUGAACUGGCCAACUAUGGAAGAGAGCAACUGUGAGCACUGUACGAAUGGUGGCAGGUUUGACAACUGGACUAAAAGUCUCAUCAAAAUCAAUUCCAGGACGUUGAGUGAACCCGCGAAGAACCCAACGAGCCUUGUAUCGCUCCAGAGAACCAUCUGAGCGAAACUUGUGACGAUAAACCCAUUUGCCGGUCACAAUAUUUGCACCCGAAGGACGAGGAACCAAAUCCCAAGUAUUAUUCUUCUGGAGUGCAGAAAAUUCCUCAGAUAUAGCAGCCCUCCAGUUGGAAUCAGCUAGUGCCCCUCUGUAGGAUUUGGGUAUAGGAGACAAUGCAGCAGCAUGCAGAUCAAGCCGCACCUUUGGUUGACGAAAACCCCGUUUGCCACGCGUCAGCAUGGUGUGGUCAUUUGCAAGCGGUUGAACGGUGACUGCAUUGGGAGGUGUUGUCCCCUCGAUAAGCGGCAGCAAGCUGGGCAUAGAUGUGCCCUCAGAUAUGUUCCCUGAAGAAGGACCGGUAGUGCGGGCUGCAUCGGUCGUUGAAGGAGUAGCGCGCCCAGGCGCUCGUCCAGAUGAAGUGCUGGCGGUGUGGACGCUGUCCGCAGCAGACUCCGGAGAGGCGACUGCGGUGGAGGAGCCAGCCGGGACGAUGGCGCCAGAGGCCGAGGCAGACGCCGGGAUGGCACCUGAGUACGCAGGGUCGGUUGCAGCAGACGACGAUGUGGAGCCGGGAACCUCGGGGCACCGCUGGCAGCAACCUGGGGCGAGGGGCCAACAGGGGCAGCGGCGCGCGAAGUCGAAGUACCUGAAACACGUGAAAUACCACGAGAAACAAUAGGUGCAUCAUCCAACUCCGAUAGGAAGUCAAAGUUAGAUGAAGGAGGUGAGGAAACUUCGGCAAAAGGGAAUGAAGUCUCAUCAAAAAUAACAUGGCGCGAGAUAAUAAUUCUAUUGGUAGAAAGAUCGAGACAACGAUACCCUUUAUGUUCCGAGGGAUAGCCUAGAAAGACACAAGCGGCUGAGCGAGGUGCCAGCUUGUGUGGAGCGGUGGAGGAAAGGUUGGGAUAACAGCGACAACCGAAGACACGAAGAUGGUCAUAGGAGGGCUGAAGUUUGAAAAGGGCAAAGAAGGGUGUGGUGGAGGCUAGAGUUUUGGUGGGAUGACGAUUGAGAAGAUAGGUGGCAGUAUGAAGGGCCUCAACCCAAUAGGACGGGGGCAUGCUAGCUUGAAAAAGGAGGGAGCGAAGAAUAUUAGUGGUGGUACGAAUAAUUCGCUCGGCCUUGCCAUUUUGUGGUGAGGUAUGAGGACAAGACAUGCGGAGAGUGACACCAUGGGUAACAAAAAAUGUGCGGGAGGAGGAGUUAUCAAACUCGCGGCCAUUGUCGCACUGGACGCUUUUGAUGGUGACACCAAACUGAGUGGAGACAUAGGCGAAGAAUUUUGUGAGAGUGGAAAAUGUGUCAGACUUGAGACGCAAAGGAAAGGUCCAUAGGUAGUGAGAGCAAUCGUCAAGAAUGACUAAAUAAUAUUUGUAGCCAGAAAUACUAGGGACAGGGGAUGUCCAAAGAUCACAAUGUAUUAAAUCAAAAUUAUUGAUUGCUCGUGAACUGGAUGUGGGAAAGGGGAGACGUACAUGACGUCCUAAUUGACAAGCAUGACACAAGUGUUCAACAUCACUUUUAUUGCAAGUAAUAGCACACGAGGACACUAGGCUAGACAAAGCCUCACGACCAAGAUGUCCAAGACGCCGAUGCCAAAGAGUGGAUGAAGAGACGGCAGCAGUGAGUGCUAAUGGCCGAACAACUGAUGGCAAAAGUGGAUAUAGCGGCCCGGAACUAUUGCACCUGACGAUCACGUUCCGGGUUUGGAGGUCCUUCACAGAAAAGCCAGAAGGGUCAAAUUCAACCGAACAGCUAUUUUCAAUAGUGAAUUGACGAACGGAAAUAAGGUUUUUGAUGAGGUGCGGUGAAACAAGAACAUUAUGUAGGUGGAGGGUACCACAUGUGGCAGGAAAAGUGACAGAGCCAGUAUGAGUGACAGGUAAAAGGGAACCGUUGCCGACAACAAUAUUGGAUGGAGUAGAAAAAGAAGGAGUUUGAGAGGAGCAAAGAUUACCGGAGUUGGAUGUCAUAUGAGUUUCGGCACCUGUAUCCAUAUACCAUUCUUGAGUUGGCGGUGGCUGGAGGGUCAUCGUGUUGAAGUUUGAAGCCAGCAUGUUUGUGUCCCACGAGAAACCGCCAGGGUUGUGCAGCCAGCCGGGAGGUGGUGGACUGGCACCAGCGAAUCCAGGGGAAGCCGGCAGGGGUGGGCCAGGCGAAGGUGGCCCAGCCAUCGGAGGCGGCCCAGGCAGCACCGAGGGCCCGCCAUAGAGGGCUUGCGGAUGAGGGCCAGGCGCGCGAGGCGGGACACCCGGUGGGCCGGCCCAGUACGCCUGGAACGUGCCAAAGGCCGGCUGCCAGUUAGCAGGCCGUGGCGGCUGGCUAGCCCAAGGCGCAGGAGAACCAGCCCAAGGCGCGUUAGGGCCAGUCCAAGACGCAGGAGCGCGGCCACCAGGAGUCUUCUUGCCGCCGCCACGCCUGGUCUGCUUGCGGCCACCGCCUGUGCCGCCGGAGUUGACCGGUGGCAGCACAAGGGAAGGGGGAGUCGAGGCAGCAAAAGCCUGAGGCGACUGCGUAGGCUUGGCAGCCAUGUUGAUUUCGGCGAGCCGAAGAUCAGACUUUACUUCGGCGAACGUCGGGAAUGGACGCUGGCGCUGAAUCAGCGCACCGAGGUAGGAGAACCUGUCGUUGAGGCCGCGAAGGACGUUGAGAACCAGCGUACGGUCACGAACAGGUUCGCCAAGAUCCGCAAGCUGGUCAGCCAUGGACUUGAGUCGGUGGCAGUAAUCGGAGAUGGACAGGCUGCCUUGGACGAAGUUGCGGAACUCGGCGUCGAGAAGAAGAGCGCGACUCUCCUUGUUCCCUAUGAACUGCUGCUCAAGGCCAAGCCACACAAGACGAGCAGUGGGAGGACCAUCUUCCCGGUUCAUGACAACCUCGAGGAGCUCGGGAUUGAUUGUGUCGUAGAGCCAGGACAAGACGGUGCAAUCCAUGCGUUUCCACAUGGCGUCAUUGGAGCGGUCGUCGUCGGAGAGCACAUGAUCAACGAGCGCAUAACGCUCGAGAGUGUUGAGGAAGAGGCCACGCCAUCGGUUGAAGUGCGGCGACGUGAAGUCGAGGACGAUGGGAACGAGAGACUUGACGUUGAGGAUCGCCGCUGCUUGAGCAUGAAGAGCAGCAGUAGCCGCAGCAACUUCGCCGGCAGCGACCAAGGCAUGGGCGUCGGCAUCGCGUCGCUCCUGCUCCAGGUGCGCAGCGUCACGGCGCUCGGCCUCGAGGCGCGCAGCCUCCAGGCGCGCAGCUUCUUGGCGGGCAGCCUCGCGGCGUUCUUCAGCAGUGAAAGCAGCAACACGCUGCUCCAAAGCACGACGGGCAGCAGCGGCAGCAUCAUCGUCGGCCAUCGUGUCGAGGUGGCGUGGCGGCGUGGGUUAAAGAAUGCGGAAGCUAUGGUUCGGAAAGAACCCGAUUGAUACCAUGAUAGAUGAAUGCUUGAUGUUUAUUGAUCAAGAGAAUCAGCUACAUAUAGGCAGCAUCACCUGACUAGACAUGCACGAGUAUAACCGGUUUAUAGAAGUAAUACCCGGUGGUAAAGGAAGUGCAUCACCUGAUUAGGACUCUCCAACUAUAGCCAUGCGUGUACAAGGCAGGCCUAAAGCAAGGAAAGUAAUUAAUCUAAUUAUGGUAAUCCAAUCAAUCUAAUUGUG